AUGGAGAAAAGCAUCAAAAUCACUAACUUGUCAUUUCUACAUUUUGUGAUUAGUCUUAACCCUUUAAGCUUCCACAACAAGGUUUGUGUUUUGUUUGUUUUCCAGCAAAAACUCGUGUACAUCCUGGCUCCUCCCCUACCUCUUUCCAACAAUUCCUCAGAGCUAUCCAGAAACUUCCUCAGGAUACAGUCCUCAAUAAAUGCCUCAGAAAAAAAGUAUUUCUCAACUUUUAGGUUGUGUUUUGGUGUUGUGUGUGUGUGUUGGCAACAUGUGUUUUGGUUGUGUUUGUGUGUGUGUGUGUGUUGGCAACACAAUAACACCUCAGGACCUCAAACCCCAUUUCCAGGAACUUUUCCUGAAGUUGCCUGUGCAGCGCCUGGUGCAGGGCCCGGCGCCCUCCCGAUGCUGAGGGAAUCCACGUCAGCGAAAACUGGGAGUUGGGUGGCUCUCACUCUGAGGUGGUCCCGGCUGUCAUUAACCCCUCAGCCCGAGACCCCCUUUCCACACAUGAAGCAGAGGGUGCUGGGGUCCCUCGUGCGCCGCAGACGCAGCACCGCGCGUCCUCUCCACAGGUGUGGCGCCGCGGCGACCGCGCACCCGGUACCAGGAAGAGGAGGACAGAAGGGGACGGAAGGGGACCAACGGCUGCUCGAGGCCCCCACCAAGGGGUCCGCUCACCUGGGACCUGGCCGCCAGGAGCGGGGGCCGGAGCGCCAGGUCUCUCAGAAGUUUCCGGGCCUGCGCUCCCACGGGGGCCGCCAUCUUAUCCAGGAAGCCAGCGAGGGGACCCUGACGGGGUGCCGGCGGGGCGGGAGGGGGCUGGAAGAGGAAGGGAGGGGGAAGGGGCGGGGCCGCCCGCCGCCUACCGCCCGCCCCGCCCCCUCCGCCCCGCCGCGCCCCGGCGACCGCCACCUCGGCCCCAAAUUCACUUUCAGCAUUUGGAGCCUCCUCUUCGCGCUACCGCGGGUCACAGUGAAGCUCUUUGAAGUCAAGGAUUCCACCAGAGUUCUACACUGUACUUUACUGAGAUGAGCACUGGGUUUUCUGUGAAACUGGAUUGAGUUCAAAUCCCAUAUCUGUCUUCUAUGAAUCUGUGAUCUGAGGAGCAACCUGCAUCAUACAGCAAUA
This 1128-nucleotide long non-coding RNA is filed under the name Ovis aries (sheep). RNAcentral describes it as "lncRNA (ENSOARG00000026654.1)". Lineage: Eukaryota; Metazoa; Chordata; Mammalia; Artiodactyla; Bovidae. The record is from RNAcentral.